This 87-nucleotide transfer RNA is filed under the name Myxococcales bacterium. RNAcentral describes it as "tRNA-Ser". It matches the Rfam family "tRNA". From Rfam's summary of the family: Transfer RNA (tRNA) molecules are approximately 80 nucleotides in length. Their secondary structure includes four short double-helical elements and three loops (D, anti-codon, and T loops). The record is from RNAcentral. Lineage: Bacteria; Pseudomonadati; Myxococcota; Myxococcia; Myxococcales.
GGAAGGAUGCCCGAGCGGCAAGGGUUCCGUCUUGAAAACGGUGGACUGGCCUAGCGGUCAGCGUGGGUUCGAUCCCCACUCCUUCCG